RNAcentral lists this ribosomal RNA (482 nucleotides) under uncultured bacterium. RNAcentral's name for it is "partial 16S ribosomal RNA". It matches the Rfam family "Bacterial small subunit ribosomal RNA", at positions 30 to 507 of the family's 1533-position model. The record is from RNAcentral.
AUUGAACGCUGGCGGCAUACCUUACACAUGCAAGUCGAACGGUAACGGGCCUUCGGGUGCCGACGAGUGGCGAACGGGUGAGUAAUACAUCGGAACGUGCCCGAUCGUGGGGGAUAACGAGGCGAAAGCUUUGCUAAUACCGCAUACGAUCUACGGAUGAAAGCAGGGGACCGCAAGGCCUUGCGCGGACGGAGCGGCCGAUGGCAGAUUAGGUAGUUGGUGGGAUAAAAGCUUACCAAGCCGACGGUCUGUAGCUGGUCUGAGAGGAUGAUCAGCCACACUGGGACUGAGACACGGCCCAGACUCCUACGGGAGGCAGCAGUGGGGAAUGUUGGACAAUGGGCGCAAGCCUGAUCCAGCCAUGCCGCGUGCAGGAUGAAGGCCUUCGGGUUGUAAACUGCUUUUGUACGGAACGAAAAGCCUUCUUUUAAUACAGGAGGGUCAUGACGGUACCGUAAGAAUAAGCACCGGCUAACUACGUG